Long non-coding RNA from Herpailurus yagouaroundi (jaguarundi), 788 nucleotides. RefSeq lists it as uncharacterized. The record is from RefSeq and is a predicted model, not a curated record. The transcript has 2 exons. NCBI's taxonomy places the organism in Eukaryota, Metazoa, Chordata, Mammalia, Carnivora, Felidae.
CAUCGGCCUGUAACAUCUGCAACCAGGAUGCCUUCUUUCUACCUGAGAACCCUGGCUUCUAAUGGGAAAGGAAGUUGGAUGGAGCUCAUCUGGUAACAUGCCUUUGGAAAGGACAUAGAAGAGGCUCAAGACUCAAUCCGAAGAACAGGAAAACCUCAUGAAAUUAACAGAAGAUUUAGAGAAGAAGUCACCUUCGUAAAGUGCUGGAUCUCAAGGGAACACAGUUUGGAAUAGCUGUCGGUGAAGCAGGACAGCAAAUACAGUUGGGAUGCUGUUUCUCAAAACUGAGGCUUCUGUUCUCAUCAGUAACUGCAUACCUGGACCGAAAGCUCCUUCCUCAAGCCUGAAAAUGCGUUUUUCUUACCAGACAAAAAUACAAAAAGGGGAGAGGGGUGAACCUGAAAAUGUUCCUUCACAACUAACUAGCAACUUGGAACUCUCACAGAACGGAGCAAUCGCAGUCCGUGGACAGCAUUUACCUUUGGGAACAGAAACUUAAUUUGUCAAUUCACUGGCGGCAACUCAAACUUGGGAAAUAAUAUGAGUUUGGAGAUUCAUAUUUUAUUUACAAGUAAAUGAAGAAUGUCUCCUGUGAACGCUAAUUUGGAACAAGAACAACAUAAAGAAGUAGUUGCUGGCUCCACAGUGACGUGUGAAAGGAGUCCUUGUUAUUGGUUUUUCUUAAACAAUGAUUUUGUCAUUAAAAAGGAAAAAAAACAACAAAGCCACGUGAUUUCUUCAUGUUGCACAUGCGAAAGAAUUCAAAAUAAAAAUGACUUUCCAAACUC